UGUAACAAAAUAAAAUAAUAGAUAAUAAAUAUUUAUUGCUCUGCUCUAACAGAACAUAUUCGUAUUUUAAACUUUUAAAUUCUUUAAAAACAAUAAAAAACUUAAACAUUAAUUUUGACAGUUCAUAAAUUCUCGGCUAAGCAACAGCAUAGCAACGCCACUGUCCAAUAGAAUGCCUGGACAAUGUUGAUGGUAGAACGUCGCGUGGGCGUUCCUCUGCCAAUAAAACACAGCGCUGAAGAUGAUUGGCUGAAUCCGAGAAUCCAAAUUCUUCCCCUGCAGUCAAUGGGAUCUGAGGAAACAGUCCCGCGGGCGAGCACGCGGUGUGGGAGUUCUCCUGUCACCGUACACUGACAGAGCAGGAGGAUCAGCUGGGACUAGCCAGCACCUGAAGCCUAUCAUCAGCCAUCAGACAGCUAUGAAAAUCAAGGAGAAGACCUGCAGGAAAAGGAGAGAGAGCUAUGACUGGAACUCAGGCUGGAACAGUAGCCUGAAAGAGAUUGGUUAUCUGCUACCCAUUUCUGGAACAGGCAGCGGCAAGGGUCUUACUAGGAAAGAGACAUUGAUUCACAUGCUGCAGUACUUUGGAUUUCUUCAAAGUCAAAUUCAGAUAUUACAGAGCAGCCUCCCUGCCCACUGCCUGCCAGACGUCACUGAAAGAGGUGCAGUUCAUUUGUAUGGUGAAAAAAUAAAUAAAUCAAGAUUUUGUAACCCCCUUGUCAGGAUUGACUAUAUAGCUCUGGCAAAAAUUAAGAGACCAUUUCAGUUUCUGAAUCAGUUUCUCUGAUUUUGCUAUUUAUAGGUAUAUGUUUGAUUAAAAUGAACAUUGUGGUUUUAUUUUAUAAACUACAGACAACAUUUCUCCCAAAUUCCAAAUAAAGAUAUUGUCAUUUAGAGCA
RNAcentral lists this long non-coding RNA (899 nucleotides) under Astyanax mexicanus (Mexican tetra). Its description in RNAcentral is "lncRNA (ENSAMXG00005010475.1)". The record is from RNAcentral. Lineage: Eukaryota; Metazoa; Chordata; Actinopteri; Characiformes; Acestrorhamphidae.